This is a long non-coding RNA of Mauremys reevesii (Reeves's turtle), 334 nucleotides long. RefSeq lists it as uncharacterized. The record is from RefSeq and is a predicted model, not a curated record. Lineage: Eukaryota; Metazoa; Chordata; Testudines; Geoemydidae. The transcript is spliced from 3 exons.
GUCUGCAGAACCUACCUGAGAGAAGGGAUUUUUGAAGGCUAUGGAGACAGAUAGCCCAUAGUUCCCCGCCCCCAGAUGGGGGAGUAAGGAGGCUAGCUAACCCAGAGAGGAGGGAAUGCCAAAUGGGCCAGAACAGUUAUCAACGAGGAGCGCUAACAGAGGAGAGACUCUACACCACCACAUCUCAUCACUAGCACCAGCUGGGAUCCCUGUAGAGAAGACAUUUUCCUAGCGGUGUUUGUGCAAGCCAUAUCAGACUGGAAUAAAAAGAAGAGGAAAGCUGGAAAAAACAACUAAAUUACAAAACCAAACGUCAAAAUUAAUUUGUCAGUGG